GAUGAACGCUGGCGGCGUGCCUAAUACAUGCAAGUCGAGCGAACGGACGAGAAGCUUGCUUUUCUGAUGUUAGCGGCGGACGGGUGAGUAACACGUGGAUAACCUACCUAUAAGACUGGGAUAACUUCGGGAAACCGGAGCUAAUACCGGAUAAUAUUUUGAACCGCAUGGUUCAAAAGUGAAAGACGGUCUUGCUGUCACUUAUAGAUGGAUCCGCGCUGCAUUAGCUAGUUGGUAAGGUAACGGCUUACCAAGGCAACGAUGCAUAGCCGACCUGAGAGGGUGAUCGGCCACACUGGAACUGAGACACGGUCCAGACUCCUACGGGAGGCAGCAGUAGGGAAUCUUCCGCAAUGGGCGAAAGCCUGACGGAGCAACGCCGCGUGAGUGAUGAAGGUCUUCGGAUCGUAAAACUCUGUUAUUAGGGAAGAACAUAUGUGUAAGUAACUGUGCACAUCUUGACGGUACCUAAUCAGAAAGCCACGGCUAACUACGUGCCAGCAGCCGCGGUAAUACGUAGGUGGCAAGCGUUAUCCGGAAUUAUUGGGCGUAAAGCGCGCGUAGGCGGUUUUUUAAGUCUGAUGUGAAAGCCCACGGCUCAACCGUGGAGGGUCAUUGGAACCUGGAAAACUUGAGUGCAGAAGAGGAAAGUGGAAUUCCAUGUGUAGCGGUGAAAUGCGCAGAGAUAUGGAGGAACACCAGUGGCGAAGGCGACUUUCUGGUCUGUAACUGACGCUGAUGUGCGAAAGCGUGGGGAUCAAACAGGAUUAGAUACCCUGGUAGUCCACGCCGUAAACGAUGAGUGCUAAGUGUUAGGGGGUUUCCGCCCCUUAGUGCUGCAGCUAACGCAUUAAGCACUCCGCCUGGGGAGUACGACCGCAAGGUUGAAACUCAAAGGAAUUGACGGGGACCCGCACAAGCGGUGGAGCAUGUGGCUUAAUUCGAAGCAACGCGAAGAACCUUACCAAAUCUUGACAUCCUUUGACAACUCUAGAGAUAGAGCCUUCCCCUUCGGGGGACAAAGUGACAGGUGGUGCAUGGUUGUCGUCAGCUCGUGUCGUGAGAUGUUGGGUUAAGUCCCGCAACGAGCGCAACCCUUAAGCUUAGUUGCCAUCAUUAAGUUGGGCACUCUAAGUUGACUGCCGGUGACGAACCGGAGGAAGGUGGGGAUGACGUCAAAUCAUCAUGCCCCUUAUGAUUUGGGCUACACACGUGCUACAAUGGACAAUACAAAGGGCAGCGAAACCGCGAGGUCAAGCAAAUCCCAUAAAGUUGUUCUCAGUUCGGAUUGUAGUCUGCAACUCGACUACAUGAAGCUGGAAUCGCUAGUAAUCGUAGAUCAGCAUGCUACGGUGAAUACGUUCCCGGGUCU
Molecule: ribosomal RNA, 1372 nt
Filed under: uncultured bacterium
Lineage: Bacteria
Description: bacterial SSU rRNA
Rfam family: Bacterial small subunit ribosomal RNA
Source: RNAcentral